This is a long non-coding RNA of Poecilia latipinna (sailfin molly), 995 nucleotides long. RefSeq lists it as uncharacterized. The transcript is spliced from 3 exons. NCBI's taxonomy places the organism in Eukaryota, Metazoa, Chordata, Actinopteri, Cyprinodontiformes, Poeciliidae. The record is from RefSeq and is a predicted model, not a curated record.
GGUGGCGGUAUGUACAUCCGGAGUUGCUUGCAAUCCAUUAAUAAUGAUAAGAAGAAGUUAGGGUUGGCCCUAAUCCUAUGUUUAAUAAAAAAUUAAAAAAAUAAAAUACAGACAGAUUUGCUCAUAUGAUUAUAGGAAAAUAUGUGUUUGUACCAUUUGAAAAUGUGUAAUAUUUGUAUUAGUAGUAAUAAUAAUAAAUUACGGAUUGCACCCGACAAAACAUUAGAGAAGAAGAAGAAGCUUACGUCAUCUGAUGCGACACUUUCCACAGUUGGAGCUGAUGAGCAGAGCAUAACAGAGCCUAUGGGUUUGACGGAAGUGCUGUCAAGAGAACCGACUUCAGAUAAUACUACGAAUGUUUGCAACAUCUGCCACUGUCUUUUCAGUGAUGAGAAAAAAAAUGCCAAGAAGAAGUGGCGUGAGUGGCGACGUUGCAACACAUGUGAGCAGUGGUCACACCUGGCAUGUGGCUUCAAGAAAAACUUGUGUCGUCAUUGUCAGACUCCCAGAAGUUGAGCCUUGUUAUGUCUUUCAGAGCGAAGGUGAAACAUUAACAUGUUUAACGUUGAAAAAAUUGUCUUAUAGUACUACUUGGUUCUUUGCUGGAAUAAUGAGAGGGUGACUCGCUGUCCAAAGUGUUCAAAUCUGUAUGUUCGAAGAUACUGUCCUACAUAUGAUAUAAGUAGUUUCUGGCUUAUUAGAGUUCAUGGAUCUCCAUUGUGCAACAUCUUCAAGUCUGUGAAAUCAUUCACUUCUGUUUGCAGCUAAAAUGUAAAAGAAGCUUUUAUUGGAGAUGUGUUUGUGUUGUGCUAUCUGUCAUUAAACAUGUUUUUUCAAAAUGUAUUAUGCAUCACUGGGACUGCAAAAAAGACACUUCUAAUUUGGUCACAGUAUUUGUGACAUCUGUUUAUCAGAAAGCUGUCAAUGUUAGCAUUUCCUGUAGUUUGUCUUAAACAAUUGAUAAAUGCACAAUGCAUCAAUAAAAGCUUUUGUAU